This is a non-coding RNA of Cricetulus griseus (Chinese hamster), 1192 nucleotides long. The record is from RefSeq and is a predicted model, not a curated record. Lineage: Eukaryota; Metazoa; Chordata; Mammalia; Rodentia; Cricetidae.
CAGACUGCUGCCACGCCGGUUGGCUAGGUCGCUCUGACUAUCAUCUGACCUGAACUACUACCAUCUUCAGGAGUCCAUCUGUGUCACGGGCCAUGAAGAUACAGUCCAAGUCCCUGAGGCCAAGCAAACACUUUAAAGAGAACAAUAUGCGUGAAGACCCAGAGAAGGCAGAAGCAUGCUGUAUUUGAAGAACUAAAGAGUGCUGAGGAUAACUGGAACAUGGAACUCAGAGGGUGGAUGGAAAUACUAGGAAAAAUAGGGCUAUCUCACAAGGGUCUUGUAAGCUGUGCUGAGAAUUCAACAUUUUGCUAAGGGCAAGAAGAAGCUAUUGGAGUAUUUAAGUUAGAAAGGAACAUAAUUACUUUUGAAUUUUUUGAACACUCAGUUUCAUUAUGGAAAAGAAAAUGAAUGAAUCAGAAUUGGAGACAGAUAGAUGAGGUAGCAGAAGCAGGAGGAGAGUUGGAGAUUUCUUGAAAUACAAUAGGAGCAAGAAACAAAUUUUAAAGUGAUCUUUGGAGAAAGAAAUGCCAUGUAGUGUUUGGGUGAGAGAGAUGGUGCUUGAGAGACUUUACUUAUUUGUUUUUUUGGUUUUUUUUUUUUUUUGCUCCUACAAGGCUGGAAGUUAGCAUUAUCUAAAAGUGACUUUGUAGAUUUGUAAGUACCUAACAUCUUGAUGUAGAGAUUAUUUUCCUGGCUGUGAAUCUAGGCUCUGAUGCUUGUCCAGGGCUUGAUCUUCAGCAGGCUUUUCUCAUUUCUAUCUCAGUUUUCCUUACAUCAUUGGGACAAUGGCUCCUAAUCAGAAGUUUAUUGUGAUGGUAGGUUGAGAGAUUAUUAAUGAUGAACUUGGAAUCAUGCUGAGUGCAGAGAAGGCUGUGAUACAUGUUAGCCAUUAUGAUUAUUGUUAUUACUCUAUAGUGCAUCUACAGUGGUUCUCAACCUUCUAAUGCUGUGACUAUUUAAUAUAGUUCCACAGCCAUGAGGCUCUAUUCAUUGCUCUUCAUAACUGUCAAUUUGCUACUGUUAUGAGUUGUAAUGUAAAUAUCCGUGUUUACUGAUGAUUGUAGCUGAACACUGUGAAAGGGUUGUUCAAUCUUCCCAAGUGGUCAUGACCACAGGUUCUAGACAAAGAUGACAAUCUGGCUUCUGCAUAUUUAGAGUAGAACGGGGUAGGUUAUCAAUAAAUGUGUACCAA